GAAUUUUGCCCAAUGGGGGAAACCCUGAGGCAGCAACGCCGCGUGAGGGAUGACGGCCUUCGGGUUGUAAACCUCUUUUCUCAGGGACGAUGAUGACGGUACCUGAGGAAUAAGCCACGGCUAACUACGUGCCAGCAGCCGCGGUAAUACGUAGGUGGCAAGCGUUGUCCGGAUUUACUGGGCGUAAAGAGCGCGCAGGCGGCCAGGUCAGUCGAAUGUGAAAGCCCCCGGCUCAACUGGGGAGGGUCAUUCGAUACUGCCUGGCUUGAAGAUAGGAGAGGGAAGCGGAAUUUCAGGUGUAGUGGUGAAAUGCGUAGAUAUCUGAAGGAACACCAGUGGCGAAGGCGGCUUUCUGGCCUAUUCUUGACGCUGAGGCGCGAAAGCUAGGGGAGCGAACGGG
RNAcentral lists this ribosomal RNA (400 nucleotides) under uncultured bacterium. RNAcentral's name for it is "bacterial SSU rRNA". It matches the Rfam family "Bacterial small subunit ribosomal RNA", at positions 359 to 776 of the family's 1533-position model. The record is from RNAcentral.